UAAAGAACAGUAUUCGGUGUCAUUUAU
RNAcentral lists this small RNA (27 nucleotides) under Bombyx mori (domestic silkworm). RNAcentral's name for it is "ovarian small RNA-5573". Lineage: Eukaryota; Metazoa; Arthropoda; Insecta; Lepidoptera; Bombycidae. The record is from RNAcentral.